AGCAGCUGGACGACCCCUGAGACCUCUCUUAAAGCUGCUAAUGGCCGACAAGGAUCAGGCCUAAUAAGGUGCUGUGUGUUCAUCCUCGUGUAGGUUAAGUGUGUGAGUGUGUGCGCAUGCUUUCAUGUGUGUGACACCCUUUACAUCUGGGUUGCCCUCUCUGGCCUCACUGGCUGUUUUGGGCCCCAGGCUGUGCGACCAGAGAGCCGGUGACAGUGUGUGUGCUCGGCAGGGGACAGUAUUUAGGCACUAGGAGCUGUAGCCGGGGGAUCUUUGGCUGCAUAAUGAGCUGUUGUGUGUUGUGGAGCCAUGAAGCAGCGCACUGUGGGGACAGAGGAGUAUUGUGUGCUGUGAAACCACAGCUUGGCUCAGCAGAGGAGGCCUGACUGAACCACGCUGGGAAGCACCACAGGGCAAAACAUCUUCUGGAUGCCUGCCUGGUUCUUGUGUCUGUCUGACCUUUUUUUUCCUUUUAUUUUUGUCAUGCUAUCCUGUUACAGCCAGUUGAUGGUACAACCACUUUCAUGUUUUAACAGAUCCACUCUUAACCUUUGCUAAUUUAGGUAAAACAUUAAUGUCCAGCUCAUCCACGUUGACUUUAGUCUCAGAUCGUUUUUACACGUCUGUUAGUUUCUUCUCCUUUUGUAAUGUAAUUCUUUGAUUCAUUCACGAUUUGAGUUCACCUGUUUAAAGAUCACAAAAUGUCCUAACUCCAUAGUGAUUGAUUGCAACAUCUAACAUGAACUGAAGACCAUGAUCUCAUUUGACCUGUAAUAGGCCUCUUAGAAUUAGCUUGAAGCUUAAAUCGUCAUAUCUGUUCCUUAGAAGCUCAUUAAAAACCACAAUAUGUUUUUUCCUGUAAUUAGACACCCAGUCAAACCAUGUUAAUACUGGAUUCAUGGGAUUUUUUUGUGUGUUAGAUUUGUCCCACAUUUUCUCAGAGCCAGACCAUCUGUUUUCCUCCGCUCCGGUUUGUACAUGAGGCCACACUGAAUGUAGCUUUGACACGAGGGUGGGGUCCAUCGUUUUAUCCUUCUUGUAGCGUGAAACAUUCAAGUUUAGCUAAUUGUUAAACUGGAAGUGAGAACUGCUUUAUCCACUGUGUUUCAGCCCUCACUGCUUUGAGAAAGUCAUAAUAUUUAGGUUCAGCUUUAUCAACCGAUUGAGCGGACAACCGACAAAAACACAGUGGUGGAAACAGCUUAACAACCAAAAGAGUUUCAUCUGCAUCACUUUACAGGAACAUCUCAGUUUACGUUUGCAAAAGAAGAGGAGGCGGAGAUGGAAACUUACAGAUAAUCCUUUAAUUCAGCAAAUAAGAACGACCUCAUUAAAACUUUUAACUCAUUAAAGUUCAACUAUUUAUAGACAAAAUAUGUUUACAUACUUAUAUCAUGCGCUCAUACCAAAAAGUCUUUAUACUAACAGAUAGAUAGAUAGAUAGAUAGAUAGAUAGAUAGAUAGAUAGAUAGAUAGAUAGAUUCAAAUCUAACUUUAUACAUUUAAACAGUAGAAAAACAGUAGAAUCUUUCUUGUUGCUUAACUUCUUGAGAUUUUUACGUGACCUGUAUGAGCGGCCCACCGAGUCAAACGCAUUAUGCAGAGUUUGAUUCUGAUUAUUUACGCCCUCCACAUGUUUGUCUGUCUAUCUACUCACAAGCCUGUCUGUCUGCUCUCAGUGUGUGUGUGUGUGUGUGUGUGUGUGUGUGUGUGUGUGUUUGUGUUUGUGUGUGAGCCUGAACACUUGUUUGAGCCGUCUGCUUGUCUGUAUGUACGAUACACAGGUGUUUUUUUUUAUUAUUUAUUCUUUUUUUGUCACAGUGGGGUUUAAAAACUAUGUGACAAACACAAUUAUAUACAACAUUAAAACAUAAAAAACCUUAGGGUGUUUUUGUGGUCUUCAAGAAGAAGAAAGGGAAAAAAAAGACAUAAUGAAAAAAACAUCAUACAUCAAAUGUUUCUCUCUUUCCUCUAAAAUUUCCCAUCCAUCUCUGCCUGUCCUGCUGCCUCUAUCUCUCCCUCUGCUCCGACGACAACAGGCUCUUUCAUGUAGACAUCUUUUCCUCAGCAGCCUCAGGCUCUCUCCUUUCGUUCACACAGACUAAUUAAAUGUUCAGGGGGAAAACUCAUGAUUGGGACGAUUGCUCUACUUUCUCCCUGCCCCUGGUCUGCUCUUUUAUAAACCUGUUUCAGUUGAGUUAUUUAUCCCCCUUGCAAAAGUUUAAUGAUGUUUUUCAAAUCAAGACACAAAUGUCCUUGUUUGGAUCUAAAGAGUUUAUUUGUGGUCCGUCACAUGUAAUAACAGCAGGACAGAUUAUGUGUCAUAUCGUCAAAACAGGAAAUACAGUUCAGUUGUUUCUUCUCGUUUUUUUAAGGAAAGAAAGUGCACUCUAUGAAGGGAUGAAGAAAGGAGAAUGAAAAGAGAAAAAGAAAGUGACAAUCAGAAAAAGGAAAUAUACAUGUCAAACCCACAUAAUAUCUAUCCUAAAGUCCUUCACAAGCAAAAACAGUUUUCAAAUGUCUCAAUUCCAGUUUCAGGAUCUCAGUUUAAUGACUGGGUCAGUUUUUUCCUCAUUAUUUGUAAAAAUGAACUCUUUUUCAAAGCACACAGAUACAUCACUGAGAUUUUUUUGUCCACUCAUUCCUGACUGAAAAUGUACUUAUUUAUGCCGGCAUAUAAUACCCAGUAGCAUGGUGAAACUUUAUUUUUUUGCAUUGUAUUUUAUUCUUUUUUAAAAAUAAAUAUAUAUAUUUAAAAAAAAUUAAUGUCUUUUAUUGUUUUUUUUUUUAUUGCUCUUUAUUGUGUUUAUUUAAUUCAUUUUUAUUUUCUAUAUAUUGUAAAGCACUUUGGUUCACUAAAAUGGUUGUUUUAAAGGGCUGUAUAAAUAAAGAACAUUUACAUUUACAUUCAAAGAUUAAAAAAAAUCAGUGAGUUAAAAAUUAUAUUUAGAUGAUUGGACAUUAAAAUUAAUGUUGUUUUCUGUUACAGGUUAUCAAAUAAAGAUGUCAACAGAUUUUGACAUGCAGAAUAAUAUACUCUCACUGAAUUAAUAUAUAAGACAUUAAAUAUCAACGUCUCACUGUGAAAUUAAGUGUGACUGCUAUAGGCAACUUGUUUGACUCAUAUUUCAAUGUUUAAGACGUUUUUGGCAGCUGAUUUUUAUCUCUUCAGAGGAGAGUCUUAAGUGUUACUAACAGUCGUCAUAUAUUCAUGACUAACCAACGUGUUGGCAUGUAUGACUGAGGGGCAAAAAACGUCAGAGUCACUACAUGAAUGCCACUAUUGUGCGUGUCACCAUCAUCCCCAUCUUCAUCACCAUCACACUCUCGCCCUCCACAUCCUCCUGCAUCUGACUCACAAAUAUGAGGCCUGCAUGUUUUUCACAGGGUUUCUCUCUCACACACACACACACACGUCUUGCUUUAUGUUCUUCUCUCCAUGUGAUUUUCAUCUCUCCUCUUCAUCAGAACUACACGUCCUUUUCUUAAAUGUCUGUCUUUAUCUGCUCGCUCUCUUCCUCCAUUCGGGGUUGAAGCUGUGGCGAGUAGAUGCGGACACAGCAAACCUCCCAACAAUAGACCAUUCAUGAUGCCCCUGCAAUGCAAUGAUGAUCCUGCUCUGCCCUCCAUCCCCCUCCCCUCCAUCCCCCCUCCCCAGUCUGCACCAGCCUCCACAGCUGCACAGGAAUGUGGUCCAACAAGUUACCCCCCCCCCCCCCCCACCAACCCUCCUCCUCCCUCUCCUCCUCUCUUCCCUGCUGCCUCCACCACCAUCGCUACCACUGCCACCACCUCACCAGUGCUGCCGCCGUCGCAACCCAAGCCUCCCUCUCCCCCCAAAUAAAGGCAAGAAACUAUAGAAGGGGGGGAAACUCUGCAGACAGAGCACAAAGAGAGGAUUCAUGGCCGCUUACACACACUCCCCGAGAAAAAAGAUGGGGACCCAUUUAAGGGUGGUGCAGCUGCACUAAUUUACUGGGUGAAAAUGGGAGAAAGAGGGAGUGGCAGAGGUCAGAUAGCAGAAUCAUUUUUUAUUCAUCCCCAUGCAUGGCCAUGUCACUGCAUCAUCAACACUGACAGAGUGUGUGUGAUGGAUAAAUGCAGUGACGAACACAGAAAGCACCUGCAGCCUUUGGUCAGAAUCAUUCAGCACAGAGUCAAAGCUCAAGGCCACUUCCUCUGCUCACAACAACAAAACAACAACUCUGCUUUUAGUUCAUUUUGUUCUCGUAAAGAUAUUAAAACUAGAGCCGGUUAGCCUCCAGACAGAGGAAUGUUGCCUUGGUAAAAGUGAUGGAAUAAUGUUACAUUUACUAACCCUAAUUCUGGGUUUCAACACGUUAACUUACAUGUACUUUGCAUUAAUGUUUUUCAUUUUAUUCUCGUGUUUAAUGCCUCAUGUUGUCUAGUGUGUUGCUUUUGCUUAGCUGCCAAUCCAAUUUCCCUUAAAAGGAAUGAAUUUAAUGAUUUAGUCUACAUUUUACAACCUUUCUUUGUGGUGUAGUCAAACUGUUUGAGGGCAAUAAAUAAGGAUAAGAAUAAAUGUAAAAAUAGAAAGAGGACUUGUAGCUUGCUAUGGAGCACCAGACUGCUAAAUGUUAUCUAUUAUUUUCUUCCUCUGGCAAUGUUUUGGAGAGCAUUUUCUUAGAUUUUUACUUUUCUGUCUCUUUCUCAAGUAUUCUGUGAAGCGGGAAGCACAGGCAACGUCUUAACCUGUCAGACGUAAGAAUGGGCGGGUAAAAAGUAAAGGUCGGCAACCAGAACCUUUAGGUAGACUGGAGGUUCAUUAUUGAAAUCCUUUUUCUUUGAGUAGGUUAUAUUUAAACAUAUUAAAGCAUGGGUGAUAUGAGGGGGUCUGGGGGUUUUCCUCUAAUAAACUUUGAGCAUCUUGUUCUUAAAUCCCCUCUUGUCAACAUUAGAGAAACACUGAUCCAUUUUUUUCUGAUCCAAUCCGAUACCGAUACCUGGGCUGAGCGUAUCGGCCGAUAUCCGAUACUGAUCCAUGAAUGAAUGAACUGUAUACUUUGCCCUGUGAGUGAAGGCAUCAGGCUUGACAUUAGCCUUGUUAAAAACAAAAGGUAACAAAUUAAGACAGAUAUAAAUUUACUUGAUAUUAUUUUUUAACAAAUAACAAAUCGCAAAUUAGCACACAGCAAAAAGAAGUAAGAUAUCCAUAUAUUAAAAGAAAAAUUAAUUAAAAGAAAAAAAAGACUGGAUUGGCAUCAUUCAUCUGAUAUCCGAUCCAGUUGAUUUGUAAAAUCCAAAUAUCGGAUCUGUGUAUCCCUUGUCAAUAUUUGGGGUGGAAAAUUAACGAUGCACAACCUCAGUUUUAAUAAAAGAUAGGACACCUCGUGAAAUGUUGACAGAAUCAGAUCUGAAAAUUAGUUCAACCCUAAAAGUAAGUAAGAUUUAGUGAUGUGUUGUCCAUUCUUCUCUGAUGUAGGACAGCUACUUGAUACUUUAGGGCCUCUGUUGUUGCAUUUACAUGCUGUUCAAAACGUUGCUAAUGAGUGAUAAGACUACAGACAGGCCAGUUCAGCACCCAGACUCCUUCAUGGAGCCAUACUGUUGUAAUGUCUUUUGGCACUGACAUAUGUAAGCAUUGAAAACAAAGCUUUGUCAGAAAGGAAGCAUAUGUUCCUCUAAAACCUGCGUAUUGUUUAGCACUAAUGGAGCCUUUCUAGAUGACUUUCUCAGAUGGUGGUUUUUGGACUGAAAAUAGGCCAAAUGGUCCCUCUCUCUUUAUUAGACCACAGCGUGUAAUGUCAAAGAUCUCCAAAUAGGAUAUCAAACUGUGUUCUGUUGGACCUUAGGGUGGUUUUCUAACUUGUCCCAGUCCUCCUGGAAGUUGAGAUGAGAAGUUUUCAUUUUUGGUUUUCCUUUUUCUUCUUCUACUUUAUCAGCUACAGUAUGUAAAGCCCUCUUUGUGUCAACAAAUAUGAAAACAUGGCUGUUUCUCUCAACCCAUAAAAGGUCGAGAUAUUUGAUUCUAACAAAAGGGAAAUGCUAAUCACAUAUGAUGUUAUACUGCUUUAUAUUUAAUACCAGGUAACAUUUGGAGAGGUGAGAGUUAUCAUCAAAAUCUGACUACUAAAUUUCUAAUGUUAAACCAAUGACAGUGACUGUGCUCUCAUUCUACAUAAACUCACAAACUAACUCAUAACAGAUUUGUGAUUAAAGACUCGACUCAUGGACGAUCUCUGCCUUCAGUAAGUUUAAAGAAAUGAGUCAUUCUUCCGGCAUCAGACGUAAAUCACAGCUCGGGUUUUCAGGCAUCAGCUGGAGGAGAACUCCAUGGGUAUUAACAUUACACAAAAUAUUAGAGUCACAUGAGGUUCGUUUAUAUUGAUGGUCCAGCGUCAGAGCUGGAAUUCCCCGGGCAAAAAAGCAAUAACCUCGACCUUCUUUCACACAAACCCUGAGACUAAACGGUCUUCAUGAAUCAAGUAUGCAUUUUGUCAUGAACAGAAAACGCGAAAGAGAGAUACUUCAUAUAAACUAAUUUAAAACAGCGACAUUAGUCUGACUGGGAUGAAAUCUGAAGCUCAGAAGGAAGUAAACAGGCUUCAUGUGCCAUCCCUUCGCCUUUCCGACAUAUAAUUUCAGAUUCCUUUGUCCAGUUCGUCAUUAUUUGGAACAAAUGACGCCAUUCAUCUCAGGCCCAAAUGUACCCAUUGACAUGGGAGUGAAAGCUUUCCACCAAUUAUACAGGAGUUUAAUGCAGAAUGUGACCCAGCAUGUGAAUAUUUGACCGCUGUGCAUGCUCCUCUUAUCUGCAUCCCUCUCACACUAUCUGCAUCUUUCUGUUUUUCUCUCUCUCUCUCUCUCUUUCUCUGAACUUUUUUUUUUCCUCUCCAUCCGUCGUCAGAUUUCAGGAAUUUCCCCUGGGAGUUAUUCAAGUAUAAAGGCCAAAAGCGAGAGAACUUUUAUGUUUCUGCUUCUCCUCUUUGUGAUUUUUCUGUCUGCAGAAAACAUCUGAAAGCAAAAUCAGAAAUAACUUCAUCCCUUUAACUCAAUUUCAUCCUGAUCCCACAUGAAAAGACAUAGACACCCAUGACUAAAGUGAACACCUGAAGGCUGACUCUUUAACCCCUCCCUCUGAUCAUGACCUUUGACCUCCCUACCGAUCAUGAGACCUUGUCCUGUCAUCCUCUCUCCCUGCUCUCUCUCUCUCUCUCUCCUGCAGGAGCCGCAGGAAACCAGCUCUUGUGACCCAGCAUUCUGUGCAGCCGUGGAGAGGCCCAUUACUGUGGUCACAUGGCAGGUUAGCGAAGGGACGGAUGCGACCAUGUGAGCUCUAUUUUCUAAAAAGAUACAGCUUCCCUGAGGCCCACGAGGGUUUCACACAGAACAUAGAAAAUGUCAGGACGUGCAUGUCUGGGUUAGAACCCGAAUUUAGUCUCCAGACUGAGAAGAAUCAAUCUUAAGAAUAUCACAGGUGUUUCCUUCACAGGUACAGUGAUGGGUGGAAUAUCAACAGACUGAUAAGCAUUAAAAAGAAGCAGAAAGAUGGAGCUUUGAAACAGAUAAAACAUCCAAACAUCCUUUUUUUGAACAGCAUCUUUAUAGAUCAUGGCCUGAAUGUCCAAAAUUAGAUUAGAGAAAAUAAGUAUAAAAGAGUCGGAGGAAGAAAUAAUGAGGUUAUCAUGGACAUAAAAUAAAUACAUUUAUGUGGGGGUACUUUAAAAGGGUUUGGUUUCCCAUUUUCCUGGAAUUGAAGGUUUUGUGUGAUUGAAGUUUUGCAUCUUCCUAUAAUAGUUGAAUAGUUUUGACAACAGCACAAUAAAAAUAUUCAAGAAUACAGAUAUUUUGGGCUCAUUUUCAAAUAAGAAUAAAAAUGCUCUGAAGUGGUUUACUUAGAACACUGUCUUCUAGGAUGAGAAUAAAAUGACCUGCAGGCAAAUGGGGAUGAAAAUGAUGAAAUGAUCCGUCCGACCGCAUGUUAUCAAAAAUUAACAUCUUUACGAUCAGACAAAUUUUAGUUUUUAUGAUAUGUCAGCAGUUUUACACUUUGAACUAAAGUCCCACGGCAGAAUUAAAAAAAAAGCUACACGAUGGCCUAAAAUAAUAAAUGAUCUGUCACUCGGUUUAGAAUAAAAAAAUAAAAAAAAGUAAAUAAAAAAGACGGCUGAUAAAAUCUUUAUCAGCCAAUAGACUGGACAGAGGCGAACUCGGACUCGGACCGAAUAACUCCUUUGACUUGAGACACCUAAAAGAGCAGAGCGAUCAAUAAUAUGUCUUCAUGAUUAUAAUAAUAAAAAAGCCUGUGGGCUUAAAGUGGCAGUCAGAAAGAUGAAAUAUUACAGUCUGUGAUGGAGAAUAAAAGAAAAAGAUAACGAAAGAAAAACACUUCGUUUGCAGGUGGGUACUGGUCGGCCGAAUAUAUAAAUACAUUUAUGCAUUUACUGUCUCGCCGUACAAUUUGGCCUGUGCCACGUUUCAGACAAAUUAAACAUUUCAUUCAAAAUACAAAAAUACAGCAUUAUUAUCUUAAGGCGAAGAAUAUGUUUUGGCCCAAAACUUUCAUGCCAAAUAGUGUGUAAAAUACAACAAUAACGAGUUUUAAAAACGAACUUUGUCCAGAAUAAAACAACUUCGCCAAACUCUAAAAAAGUUUUUGUCCCUCCGAGUCUUCUUAGAAUUACGACAACACGGUCAAAUUAGUUUAAUAACAGUCAGCGAGUGUUUGUUUAUCCCAAAAUGUGGCCUAAAUUACAACUUUUGAAAAAUACCGAGACGAGAAUUAUAAAGUAGAUUUGUCAAAUGUUUGAAUUUAUCUGAAAAAUUACCGCUACGAAAAGCACAAAUUUAUCAUUUCAACAGGUUAUUUCUGCGUAAUGUAAAUUAUACUAAUAAUGGAUCGGAGUCAAUGUGCGCACAUACACUAUUCUGACUUCACAUCGCCGAGGUCAAACACAUUAUUGAUGAAUUACUGACAUUUUCAAGGAGGCUAUAUAAGGUUUAUUAUUGUUGUUGCUUCUAACGAUAUAUUCUCAUAACACAUUAAAACACCUCCUCUGUCUAACAGACGUACUGUACAGCACAUACUCCCCUGGGGGCCAUGCACCCCCCAACUGCCCUAACCAAAUACUGUGCGUAAAACCGCAGCCUCUUCCAACAGCUCUCUGCUCUGCACACAUACACACACACACACGAACACACACACACUUUUUCAACACUUCACCAUAGGAAAAAAAAAGAAAAACAACAACAGCAAAAACUUCCUUAAUCUCAUCCAGCACGAACAUAAGCACUCACUUAAAGCCUCGGAGGCCUCACGCAGGACUCCACUGAUGUUGGAAGGUCAGUGGGGUGCAC
RNAcentral lists this long non-coding RNA (9318 nucleotides) under Xyrichtys novacula (pearly razorfish). Lineage: Eukaryota; Metazoa; Chordata; Actinopteri; Labriformes; Labridae. The record is from RNAcentral.